GAACGCACAUUGCACCCUCUGGUAUUCCGGAGGGUAUGCCUGUUUGAGUGUCAUUAACAUGUCAACACAGCCAAGUUUUCCAUGACUUGCGUUGUUGCUUGGACGUUGAAGGCCUGCUGGCAUGAACUAUUGUCGGCUCCUUUUAAAUUCAUUAGCAGGAACUAUGCAGAAACUGGCUUCAGUUUGAUAAGAUUGAACUGCUGCUAAGGAUGCACUUGCUAUUCCAGCUUCUAAUUGUCCAGUGAACUGGACUGUCUCAUCCUUGAGGCAAAUCACUUAUGACAACUUGGCCUCAAAUCAGGUAGGAUUACCCGCUGAACUUAAG
RNAcentral lists this unclassified non-coding RNA (325 nucleotides) under uncultured fungus. RNAcentral's name for it is "sequence contains 5.8S rRNA gene". The stretch from base 1 to 53 matches the Rfam family "5.8S ribosomal RNA", at positions 102 to 154 of the family's 154-position model. Lineage: Eukaryota; Fungi. The record is from RNAcentral.